Long non-coding RNA from Lingula anatina, 3204 nucleotides. The record is from RefSeq and is a predicted model, not a curated record. NCBI's taxonomy places the organism in Eukaryota, Metazoa, Brachiopoda, Lingulata, Lingulida, Lingulidae.
CCAGUUUAAGAAACAUGGUAUACUCCCAAGCAAAGGCAAGAUUUAUAGUUGUGAACUUUGUGACUACACAUGUACAAUGAAAUGUACCUUAAGUCGCCAUAUGCGGAUACACACAGGAGAAAGGCCAGAAGUUUGCGACAUUUGCGGUAAAAAAUUUCCCAUAGGCAGCCUAAGGGCUCACAUGAAGGUUCACAAUACUACUUAUGACUUUCAAUGCAUGUACUGUGAUUACAAAACUCAGUGGGAGCAUCAUCUCAAAACACACAUCCGCCUAAAGCAUACAGAAGGUGAGAAGAGGCCUUACAAGUGCAGCUAUUGUGACCACAGAACUAACUUCAAGGGGAAUUGUGUGAAACACAUCAAAAAUGUCCACCCUGGUAAAGAACCUGCAGUAAUUCACCUUAGUGACAAUGCUUUAUGAUUUUUUUCAAAGGAUGGAAUCAAGAGCAAUAGUUUUGACUGAUGGGAAUGCCUUAUCACAUCUGAUUCUUUUUAGGGUUUAAAUUAACCCCAGUCCCCUGGCAGCUUGUUAACCCUGUUACUACUGCUUUAUUGGUAUCUUACCCUUUUUUUGUAUUUUUUUGUUAUUAAGUUGUGUUUAAGAUGUUUAUGUAAAAGAAAAGGAUGGAAGUAUAAACCUUGAAAUUAAUUAUUGUAUUACAGGUGUAUUACAGGUUUUAAUUCAUUGCUCUUGUAACAUACAUGUAUAAUGCCAUUGCAGUAAGUGUAAGUUUGACAAUUACAUUAAAAAUUUUUGGUACAUAAUUUAAUCAUCAAAUGUAGAGAAAUAAACUCAAUAAAUGUGUGGUAAAAUAAGUUUUCCACUAACACAGGUACACCCGUUAAUAGGCAUUACACAUGUACUUCACAAAUAUUGUUGGCCUUAAGUAGGUUGAUUUCUAAAUUAAGCUUCAAAAUUUCCUUUCUUAAGUUUUUCAUAUUGAAUUUUCUCAAUUUCCUCCUUCAGUAAUUAAUACUUUUUGAAGUUCUUCUCUCUUUGAACAAGAAGUAGUAAACCUCCUUUUGGUUGAUGCAAUGGCUGGCUUAGCUGGUUUGCAUUUGGACAUGUUUCCUGUGGUUUCUGAUAAAUGUCUUGAGUCACUUUCUGUUAGAUAGAUCCUUCUUUGUUUUGGAGUAUAAAUCUUUCCACUUGUGUUUCAACUCUUCCAAGGUUCGAUUAGCUGUACCUACAGCAUCGAUGUAGGCUGUAAUAUUUUGCCAAAGUUUCAUCUUCUGCUCGGCAGUGGUUGAGUUUGUUUUAACAAAUUAAAAUUUGCAGAAGUCACCCACCAUUGCAUUAGGGGAGGACAUGUACAAAACACGGUUUUCGUACGAAUCAAACCGCAUUCUUGGAGGCAUGUCUGCAUUUAAUGCAUCUUUGCUUGAAUUCUCUGGUGGGUUUUCACACAUCUGUGUAAUCAUCUGACUUUGAAGCAAGUCGGCUUUUGUUGUCUCAAGGAUGUCUGUUAGGAUGUCCACAGCUUUUCCAGUGACUUUCCGAAGAUUUCUCUCAGCAGACUGUAAGGUUGCGUCCAUUCCUAUGACCAAUCUCUGAAAAAAGCUUCUACAGUCUGCUUGUGUUGAAAUAAUUCUAGUGUUGUGGGGCAAUUUCUCAGUCCCAGCAGCACGGCUGGUGUCAUGUGGCAUGGUAACUGUGGCCUGUUGGACUUCAGGGUUUCACAUAUUAUGGGUGCCUCAUCAUAAACACUACUGGAAACAGACCCAGGGGGUGAUCUCUCAGUCUCAGCAGGUCAUUUGACUUGUGGCAUGGUUUCUGUGGCUUGUUUGACGUCAGGGUUUGCACCGCACGUCAGGGGAAGUUCACCAUCGGAGUCGGACACUGGUGUCCAAGUUGGUGUUGCACUAGCUUUGCUGGAAACUGCAUCGAUCAUAUCAAAUUCUGAUGAAAAUGCAAGUCAGUUAAGUGGCCAAAGACCAGUUUUCCGGAAUCCAUUCACCGCUGUGCUCAUGUUUGCUGCAGCCAAAAAUGCCCGCCAACAAGCUGACUAACCUGGUACACAGUAACCCUUUCUCCUUGACGGAAAAUACUUUUCUCUUUCAAUGUUGUACCACCAUUUCAGAGAUUUGAAAAAGCUCACAUGUAAGGGUUGCAUUGUGUGAGUGGUGUGAGGAGGGAACAAAAGCAUAACAAAACCAUUAUCUCGAGCAAGGUUUAUAACUUGAAGAUUCUUUGUGUGCGAUGCAUGUCCAUCAAACAGAAGAAGGACCUUGUUUUCAGGAGAUGCCCAAGUGAUGUUGAUGAAGUGAGUCAACCACUGCACAAACUGUUCAAUCCAUCAAUCCAUCCGGAAUCGCUGCAUGCAAAUCAUUGCAUGCAAAUAUGGUUCCCUCAGGCACACAAAAUUGCAGAGAAUUGUUCAUUCUCUUCCGCUUAAAUAUAAGCAUUGGAGGGAGAAACAUUCACGUAGCUGAGUGACAGUACAUGCUGGUUGUAUUGCAGCACUUGUCGUAGCCCCAACUUGACGUUUACCGGUUGUUGGUAUCACUUUUGCAGGGACUGGUACAGUUGAGUGGCUUGUCUCAUUGACAUUGUAUAUCUGGUCUGGGGUCAGCUGGUACAAGUCAAUCAGUUCUUCAUAUUUUUUAAAAAAAUUCUGUUACUACUUCUCGAUUAAAUCCCUGGGCCCAGGCUAAGGAUGUUGCCUCGGAUGGUGUCUGGGCUUUGGGUGGUGUCUCAUGAACAAUUUAAACCACUUCUUCCCAGCAGAAUUAAAUGGUGACUUCAGCCCAUGAGCACAAGCUAUAUCAUAUGCCAACUUCAUAAGGUCCUCCCUGCUUAUUCCAAACAUCAUGGAAUCCAUAAACCCCUUAAGGAAGAAUCCCUCUAGUUUCCUUUGUAAAAAAGAUAUUUGAACCAAAGUGGCACUGAUAUUGUCGGUCUGAUUUGGAGUUCAGUCUGGAACAUUUAUUUGUCAAUUGGUGCAAAAGAAAAGACACAAUGGUUAAAAUUAAAAAAAAUUUUUUUUUGCCUUUUUGGCCCAUGGGUGGGGCAAAAAGCCUUUUGUCAGAUGGCAAAACGCCCAUGAUGGGCGUUUUACCCCAAAUCCAACAACAACCCUUGUUUUGCAUAAACAAACAAUUACUUUUUCUUGAUUUCAGUUAUCUCUUCUUUACAUUAUAACAAUUUUUCCAUUUUCUAUUUUUUUCUAAAUGUCAUACGUAUGUGAGCUCUUUGCACCGAUA